This is a non-coding RNA of Phrynosoma platyrhinos (Desert horned lizard), 72 nucleotides long. Lineage: Eukaryota; Metazoa; Chordata; Lepidosauria; Squamata; Phrynosomatidae. The record is from the annotation of a GenBank genome assembly.
GCCAGCAUAGCAUAGUGGCUUGAGCCUUGGAUUGUGACUCUGGGAGCCAGGGUUUGAUUCCCAGUUCAGCCA